This 350-nucleotide unclassified non-coding RNA is filed under the name soil metagenome. RNAcentral's name for it is "partial contains 5.8S ribosomal RNA, internal transcribed spacer 2, and large subunit ribosomal RNA". The stretch from base 1 to 120 matches the Rfam family "5.8S ribosomal RNA", at positions 35 to 154 of the family's 154-position model. The record is from RNAcentral.
GAUGAAGAACGCAGCGAAAUGCGACAAGUAAUGUGAAUUGCAGAAUUCCGUGAAUCAUCGAAUCUUUGAACGCACAUUGCGCCCUCUGGUAUUCUGGAGGGCAUGCCUGUCCGAGCGUCAUUGCUGCCCUCAAGCACGGCUUGUGUGUUGGGCCCCCGUCCCCGGUUCUCCCCGGGGACGGGCCCGAAAGGCAGCGGCGGCACCGCGUCCGAUCCUCGAGCGUAUGGGGCUUUGUCACCCGCUCUGUAGGCCCGGCCGGCGCCAGCCGACACCCCAACUUUAUUUUCUAAGGUUGACCUCGGAUCAGGUAGGGAUACCCGCUGAACUUAAGCAUAUCAAUAAGCGGAGGA